RNAcentral lists this ribosomal RNA (196 nucleotides) under Salmonella enterica subsp. enterica serovar Infantis. RNAcentral describes it as "partial 23S ribosomal RNA". It matches the Rfam family "Bacterial large subunit ribosomal RNA", at positions 2735 to 2925 of the family's 2925-position model. Lineage: Bacteria; Pseudomonadati; Pseudomonadota; Gammaproteobacteria; Enterobacterales; Enterobacteriaceae. RNAcentral also lists the same sequence under 2 other names. The record is from RNAcentral.
GCACUGCCCGGUAGCUAAAUGCGGAAGAGAUAAGUGCUGAAAGCAUCUAAGCACGAAACUUGCCCCGAGAUGAGUUCUCCCUGAGACUUAGAGUCUCCUGAAGGAACGUUGAAGACGACGACGUUGAUAGGCCGGGUGUGUAAGCGCAGCGAUGCGUUGAGCUAACCGGUACUAAUGAACCGUGAGGCUUAACCUU